RNAcentral lists this ribosomal RNA (521 nucleotides) under Hepatozoon sp. DJH-2014b. Its description in RNAcentral is "bacterial SSU rRNA". It matches the Rfam family "Eukaryotic small subunit ribosomal RNA", at positions 403 to 917 of the family's 1831-position model. The record is from RNAcentral. Lineage: Eukaryota; Apicomplexa; Hepatozoidae.
ACGGCUACCACAUCUAAGGAAGGCAGCAGGCGCGCAAAUUACCCAAUUCUAACAGCAUAAGAGAGGUAGUGACAAGAAAUAACAAUACAAGGCAGUUAAAAUGCUUUGUAAUUGGAAUGAUAGAAAUUUAAACACUUUUUAAAGUAUCAAUUGGAGGGCAAGUCUGGUGCCAGCAGCCGCGGUAAUUCCAGCUCCAAUAGCGUAUAUUAAAAUUGUUGCAGUUAAAAAGCUCGUAGUUGAAUUUCUGUUAAAAAUAACCGGUCUGCUUUUAACAAAAGUGGUAUCUUGGUGUGUUUUUAGCAAUAAUGUCCUUUGAAAUGUGUUUUACUUUGUUGUAAAAAACAAUAUUCAGGAUUUUUACUUUGAGAAAAUUAGAGUGUUUCUAGCAAGCUAAUGUUUUGAAUACUGCAGCAUGGAAUAAUAAAAUAGAAUUUUAGUUCUACAUUGUUGGUUUUAAGAGCUGAAUUAAUGAUUGAUAGGGACAGUUGGGGGCAUUUGUAUUUAACUGUCAGAGGUGAAAU